RNAcentral lists this long non-coding RNA (217 nucleotides) under Setaria viridis. Its description in RNAcentral is "long non-coding RNA (SVIR_LNC008423)". Lineage: Eukaryota; Viridiplantae; Streptophyta; Magnoliopsida; Poales; Poaceae. The record is from RNAcentral.
UUUAAGAUGGGUGGGAUGGAUAAUAAAUGAGGGGAAGGGGUGUCCUCUAGACCUUUUAGUCCAAUUUAGUGCACCCCUUUUGGAAUAGAGAACUAAAGGCUUUAGUCCACAUUUUAGUCCACGUGUUUGACACUUUAAGAAUAAAAGAGGCUAAAAUGGGUGGACUAAAAUUUAGUCCAGGUAACAAAAAUUACCGGCAGCAACUUCGGCCGGAUCA